AACGAGCGGAGAGUGGUUGGCGCGCUGUGCGUGUGCGGGUGGGUGGGGGUGGUGUGCGGGGUGCGUGCGUUUGUGUGCGUGCGUUUGUGUGCGUGGUGCGAGCGCGUGCCGCCCUCUCCCUACACAUUGAUCUUAUUCGAUCGGCCCCGGCCGAGAUGAGAAGAACGGAGCCGCGAAGCCGCGGGCGCUGUGCGGCGGGCGGGCGGGAUGAGUCGAUCAGAUAGGCGAGGCCUGGCCCCGGCCGGCCCUUGAGCGCAGGGGAUUCUGAUCCGC
RNAcentral lists this small nucleolar RNA (273 nucleotides) under Chrysolophus pictus (golden pheasant). RNAcentral describes it as "Small Cajal body-specific RNA 2 (ENSCPIG00010006420.1)". It matches the Rfam family "Small Cajal body-specific RNA 2". The record is from Rfam by way of RNAcentral. Lineage: Eukaryota; Metazoa; Chordata; Aves; Galliformes; Phasianidae.